This 428-nucleotide RNase P RNA is filed under the name Holosporaceae bacterium. Its description in RNAcentral is "RNase P RNA component class A". It matches the Rfam family "Bacterial RNase P class A". From Rfam's summary of the family: Ribonuclease P (RNase P) is a ubiquitous endoribonuclease, found in archaea, bacteria and eukarya as well as chloroplasts and mitochondria. Its best characterised activity is the generation of mature 5'-ends of tRNAs by cleaving the 5'-leader elements of precursor-tRNAs. The record is from RNAcentral. Lineage: Bacteria; Pseudomonadati; Pseudomonadota; Alphaproteobacteria; Holosporales; Holosporaceae.
UUGCGGAAACGGAUGGCCGCUGUUAUUGAUUUAAUAGAGGAAAGUCCGGACUCCUCGGAGGAAGGUGCCAGAUAACGUCUGGCAAUGUUUGGUGAUCUGGUCACAGGCAUCGAAUGUUAGGGAAAGUGCAACAGAAAAUAUACCGCCCUUUGGGUAAGGAUGAAAUGGCGAGGUAAGAGCUCACCGCACUGUCGGUAACGACCGUGGCAGGGCAAACCCCACCUGGAGCAAGAUCAAAUAGGAAUACCUUGUAUGCCCUCCGCAUAUAGCUUAUUUGCCGUUGGGGCGCAUUGCGCUGUAAAACCGAUGAGCAAAAGGCAAAGUUAUUCGGGUAGAUCGCUGGAUGUUCGCGGUGACGCGAGCACAAGAUGAAUGGCCAUCGGAAUAUGAAUAUUCUACAGAAUCCGGCUUAUAGUUUCCGCAAAAAU